This 1088-nucleotide ribosomal RNA is filed under the name Eurotiomycetes sp. genotype 108. Its description in RNAcentral is "eukaryotic LSU rRNA". The stretch from base 502 to 1088 matches the Rfam family "Eukaryotic large subunit ribosomal RNA", at positions 1 to 592 of the family's 3401-position model. Lineage: Eukaryota; Fungi; Ascomycota; Eurotiomycetes. The record is from RNAcentral.
GGCCCUCUGGGUCCAACCUCCCACCCGUGUCUAUCGUACCUUGUUGCUUCGGCGGGCCCGCCGUUUCGACGGCCGCCGGGGAGGCCUUGCGCCCCCGGGCCCGCGCCCGCCGAAGACCCCAACAUGAACGCUGUUCUGAAAGUAUGCAGUCUGAGUUGAUUAUCGUAAUCAGUUAAAACUUUCAACAACGGAUCUCUUGGUUCCGGCAUCGAUGAAGAACGCAGCGAAAUGCGAUAAGUAAUGUGAAUUGCAGAAUUCAGUGAAUCAUCGAGUCUUUGAACGCACAUUGCGCCCCCUGGUAUUCCGGGGGGCAUGCCUGUCCGAGCGUCAUUGCUGCCCUCAAGCACGGCUUGUGUGUUGGGCCCCCGUCCCCCUCUCCCGGGGGACGGGCCCGAAAGGCAGCGGCGGCACCGCGUCCGGUCCUCGAGCGUAUGGGGCUUUGUCACCUGCUCUGUAGGCCCGGCCGGCGCCAGCCGACACCCAACUUUAUUUUUCUAAGGUUGACCUCGGAUCAGGUAGGGAUACCCGCUGAACUUAAGCAUAUCAAUAAGCGGAGGAAAAGAAACCAACAGGGAUUGCCUCAGUAACGGCGAGUGAAGCGGCAAGAGCUCAAAUUUGAAAGCUGGCCCCUUCGGGGUCCGCGUUGUAAUUUGCAGAGGAUGCUUCGGGUGCAGCCCCCGUCUAAGUGCCCUGGAACGGGCCGUCAUAGAGGGUGAGAAUCCCGUCUGGGACGGGGUGUCUGCGUCCGUGUGAAGCUCCUUCGACGAGUCGAGUUGUUUGGGAAUGCAGCUCUAAAUGGGUGGUAAAUUUCAUCUAAAGCUAAAUACUGGCCGGAGACCGAUAGCGCACAAGUAGAGUGAUCGAAAGAUGAAAAGCACUUUGAAAAGAGAGUUAAACAGCACGUGAAAUUGUUGAAAGGGAAGCGUUUGCGACCAGACUCGCCCGCGGGGUUCAGCCGGCAUUCGUGCCGGUGUACUUCCCCGUGGGCGGGCCAGCGUCGGUUUGGGCGGCCGGUCAAAGGCCCUCGGAAUGUAUCACCUCUCGGGGUGUCUUAUAGCCGAGGGUGCAAUGCGGCCUGCCUGGACCGA